Long non-coding RNA from Leptinotarsa decemlineata (Colorado potato beetle), 1800 nucleotides. RefSeq lists it as uncharacterized. The record is from RefSeq and is a predicted model, not a curated record. NCBI's taxonomy places the organism in Eukaryota, Metazoa, Arthropoda, Insecta, Coleoptera, Chrysomelidae.
ACGGUCUAGCACAUAGAAGAAUACAUGAAUGAGUAGAUGGACAAAUUAACAAGACAAAGAAUAAAAUGGAGUACAAAAUUCUGUAAAACAUGACACUUGUACUCCCCAGACAAAUUUUUGUUACAUUCAACACUAUAAGAGUACUGGUCAUGAUAGCCACAACCUGACAGCUGGGACCGAAAAGAGAAGAAGUAGAUUAACGGAAAUAACGAAAACUGAAUUCAAAUUAAUACCGUUAGAAUGUCGGGAAAUCAGAGAAAUUACAUGAUAUAUUGAUUAAGUAUUGCUGAAGACUCCUCAGUGGAAUCCCAGUUCUGUGAAAAUGACAAUUUAAAUAUUCGUGGACAUGAAUGAAAAGGUGCUUUCCGUUUAGACUCUCAUGUGAACAAUAUAAAGUUAGAGACGCUAAAAACACGUGUUACAUCACCUUUCACAAAUCAUUCUACGUAGAACGCAAGGUCUAACAUGCAUGUUAACAAACCACCCCAAGUUUAUCAUCUCAGCAAAUCACAGGUACAUUCCUCAUAAUAUUCAGGAGAUAUAAAAAACAGUGAACCCCCCCCUCCCGCGAGUUCCUAACUCAAAGCCUACAACAAAGUGAUUCCCAAAGUGAUUUUUUUCACAUCCAUACUACCAAAUGGUAGGCCAGAAGCAUACUGACACUUCAAGAUGGAAAGCUCCAUAUCAACAAAGUGCAAAGAUUCAUUGCUCGAAACAGUUUCAUAGGCCAGUCGUCUACUCAAAAUUACCAGCGAAAGCUCCAUAUUGAAGCAAACUCUCACGAUGAUCAUCCAAACAUUGUGAUAGGCCUUCCAUACAUCAAAAAGUCAGUACUGAAAGCUCCAUGUCAAAUACACGCAGCGGUCAAUCAACAAUUAACAACCACUUAUUCGCUGAGAAAAAUGUGCUUCUCCUCAAUGUACUACAAGCAAGAAAUGAAUGUCUUAGCAAUCUGAACACUAAGACUUGAGAAUCACCAACAAUUGUGCUGAAUGAUCUAAACACUGGCAAGGGUGUACGGUAUAAGUGCAACUGAGGUACCACGGCUCAAGAUUACUUCGGGAAAUGCUUCUUGUGAAAGUGCUGCUCAAGAUGAGGCAUCAGGAGCGUUGUGGAGUUUUCUGACAGUUUUGAGAGGUGAAGCUCCUAAACCUCUCUGAUCAACUACAAAACCCAAGUGUUGAAGAUUUUCCCUAAAGAAGUUAAAUUUACUGUUAUAUUGACAUCUUUUAAAUUAUUGUACAACCCUUGAUUUGUUCCGUGAAAGUUGAACAACACAAGACAAUGUUUUCUGAACAUAUAAAUAUUGAAGAGUUACAAGGACUUGAAGAGGGUUCUGCAACCCCCAAUUGAAACAUUUCAUAACAUUUUUUAUUUAGAUUUUCCAACAUGUAAGAAGAAAGUCUAUGAGGUCUCUUUUUGAGAAGAGGAUGAUGCUCCCCUGUAUCAAUGUCAGCUACAAUUUUGUCUGUGAAACCUAACCUUUUUUCAGAAGAGAUCUCAACUGAUCACGUUUCUCAUUUCUGCUCUUUGUACCUCUGUAAGAUUCCUGCAAAGACCUACAUUCGAGUCAGUUUUCUGGAGUUUCUGAUGGAAUAUUUAUGUUUUGCUCAAGUACACCAUCAACUUGCCAACAAGAUUCACUGAAAUUUAUUGUAAUUUUGAAUACUUCACAAAAGUCAUCACCCAUAUAAUUAGUCCACAUCUUAUUUUGCAAGUAUUUCCUAUACAGACAGAAACAUCACAAACUCCAAAAACCAUCUGUCCCCCACCAUCAACUGUAUUCACAACUUUUUUCAU